RNAcentral lists this ribosomal RNA (460 nucleotides) under uncultured bacterium. RNAcentral's name for it is "partial 16S ribosomal RNA". It matches the Rfam family "Bacterial small subunit ribosomal RNA", at positions 338 to 795 of the family's 1533-position model. The record is from RNAcentral.
CCUACGGGUGGCAGCAGUGAGGAAUAUUGGUCAAUGGGCGGGAGCCUGAACCAGCCAAGUCGCGUGAGGGAAGACGGUCCUAUGGAUUGUAAACCUCUUUAGGCGGUGAGCAAUGCCGGGCACGUGUGCCCGGAGGGAGAGUACCCGCAGAAUAAGCAUCGGCUAACUCCGUGCCAGCAGCCGCGGUAAUACGGAGGAUGCGAGCGUUAUCCGUAUUUCUUGGGUUUAAAGGGUGCGGAGGCGGCUUGUUAAGUCAGCGGUAAAAGGUCCGGGCUCAACCCGGGCCGGCCGUUGAAACUGGGGAUCUUGAGUGGGCGAGAAGUAUGCGGAAUGCGUGGUGUAGCGGUGAAAUGCAUAGAUAUCACGCAGAACUCCGAUUGCGAAGGCAGCAUACCGGCGCCCGACUGACGCUGAGGCACGAAAGCGUGGGGAUCGAACAGGAUUAGAUACCCCGGUAGUC